UGAUAACUGCCUGAGUAUCCUUUUGCAACCCCGAGCACGUCCCGUGCUACCCCCCUAAUCAAGGUCGCCGUCGCUGUCCACAUAGCAUCCGCUUCCCCAGAACUCCUUCAAGCUCCGCCCUCAACUAACCUCCUUUCCAACUCCUGAGCUUUUUCCUUUGACAGAGCACCCCAUCUUAUCCGCGGUUGACCCCGCGCGCCUCUCCUCUUCCUCUUCACCCAGAGACCGACAUCCAGCACCAGGAGUCUAUGGAGAGUAGAAAGAGACUCUCCCGGAAUAACCUUGCAGUCCUUGCACAGGCCCCUNNN
This 308-nucleotide long non-coding RNA is filed under the name Nicotiana benthamiana. RNAcentral's name for it is "long non-coding RNA (NBEN_LNC031074)". Lineage: Eukaryota; Viridiplantae; Streptophyta; Magnoliopsida; Solanales; Solanaceae. The record is from RNAcentral.